Molecule: ribosomal RNA, 1446 nt
Filed under: uncultured marine bacterium
Lineage: Bacteria
Description: 16S ribosomal RNA
Rfam family: Bacterial small subunit ribosomal RNA
Source: RNAcentral
ACGCUGGCGGCACGCCUAACACAUGCAAGUCGAACGAAGUAGCAAUACUUAGUGGCAGACGGGUGAGUAACAUGUAGGUAUCUGCCCUUUGGCCUGGAAUAACACGAGGAAACUUGUGCUAAUACCGGAUAAGUCUUUACGGAGAAAGCUUUAUGCACCAUUGGAUGAGCCUGCACUUGAUUAGUUUGUUGGUGGGGUAAUGGCCUACCAAGACUGUGAUCAAUAGCUGAUUUGAGAGGAUGAUCAGCCACAUUGGGACUGAGACACGGCCCAAACUCCUACGGGAGGCAGCAGUGGGGAAUCUUGCACAAUGGAGGAAACUCUGAUGCAGCGAUGCCGCGUGAGUGAAGAAGGCCCUUGGGUUGUAAAGCUCUUUCGUCGGGGAAGAAAAUGACUGUACCCGAAUAAGAAGGUCCGGCUAACUUCGUGCCAGCAGCCGCGGUAAUACGAAGGGACCUAGCGUAGUUCGGAAUUACUGGGCUUAAAGAGUUCGUAGGUGGUUGAAAAAGUUAGUGGUGAAAUCCCAGAGCUUAACUCUGGAACUGCCAUUAAAACUUUUCAGCUAGAGUAUGAUAGAGGAAAGCAGAAUUUCUAGUGUAGAGGUGAAAUUCGUAGAUAUUAGAAAGAAUACCAAUUGCGAAGGCAGCUUUCUGGAUCAUUACUGACACUGAGGAACGAAAGCAUGGGUAGCGAAGAGGAUUAGAUACCCCUCGUAGUCCAUGCCGUAAACGAUGUGUGUUAGACGUUGGAAAUUUAUUUUCAGUGUCGCAGGGAAACCGAUAAACACACCGCCUGGGGAGUACGACCGCAAGGUUAAAACUCAAAUGAAUUGACGGGGACCCGCACAAGUAGUGGAGCAUGUGGUUUAAUUCGAAGAUACGCGCAGAACCUUACCAACACUUGACAUGUUCGUCGCGACUCUAAGAGAUUAGAGUUUUCGGUUCGGCCGGACGAAACACAGGUGCUGCAUGGCUGUCGUCAGCUCGUGUCGUGAGAUGUUGGGUUAAGUCCCGCAACGAGCGCAACCCUCACUUUUAGUUGCCAUCAUUAAGUUGGGCACUCUGAAAGAACUGCCAGUGAUAAGCUGGAGGAAGGUGGGGAUGACGUCAAGUCCUCAUGGCCCUUACGUGUUGGGCUACACACGUGCUACAAUGGUAUCUACAACAGGAAGCAAAACUGCGAAGUUAAGCAAAUCCCUAAAAGAUACCUCAGUUCGGAUUGCACUCUGCAACUCGAGUGCAUGAAGCUGGAAUUACUAGUAAUCGUGGAUCAGCGUGCCACGGUGAAUGCGUUCCCGGGUCUUGUACACACCGCCCGUCACACCAUGGGAGUUGGUUCUACCUUAAGGCAAGGUUUCAAACCCUUGACCACGGUAUAGUCAGCGACUGGGGUGAAGUCGUAACAAGGUAGCCGUAGGGGAACCUGCGGCUGGAUUACCUCCUUUCU